This 133-nucleotide unclassified non-coding RNA is filed under the name uncultured Xylariales. RNAcentral describes it as "sequence contains ITS1". The record is from RNAcentral. Lineage: Eukaryota; Fungi; Ascomycota; Sordariomycetes; Xylariales.
UCGAGUUUUCUAACUCCCAAACCAUUGUGAACUUACUUACUGUUGCCUCGGCAGUUACCUCUCGGGGUGCUGCCGGUGGACUACUAAACUCUUGUUAAUUAUUGUCAUUCUGAAUAAUAAACUUAAUAAGUUA